RNAcentral lists this unclassified non-coding RNA (363 nucleotides) under Hevea brasiliensis (rubber tree). Lineage: Eukaryota; Viridiplantae; Streptophyta; Magnoliopsida; Malpighiales; Euphorbiaceae. The record is from RNAcentral.
UACAGCUUUCCCCAAAAGGCAAGCUUUUGUCCCCACAGCACGCUUGACCAUCCAAUAUCCCUCAAUGAUACUUGGAAUUAGUUUAAAUCUUGAAUCCCGAAACAUGUCAAUGUCUGUCCCAUCAACAAAUUUACCCAACAAAGAGCUUUUAUUUACUGGCCUGUCUGAAGCAUAGUAGAGUACCAAACUGUAGUUUGGUUUUGCUGGAACCUGAAGAUUAAUGACAAGGACAAAUGGGAGCUGCUUCCCGGCCUCUGUCUGUACCAGACACUUGGGAUGCAAUGCAACUCUAUCCACAGCACUAUCAACUUUGAACCAAUCAACAGCUAAGAGUUUGAGAAGGGGAUCCCCACCCAUUACCUU